RNAcentral lists this ribosomal RNA (485 nucleotides) under uncultured Glomus. RNAcentral's name for it is "SSU rRNA". It matches the Rfam family "Eukaryotic small subunit ribosomal RNA", at positions 569 to 1060 of the family's 1831-position model. The record is from RNAcentral. Lineage: Eukaryota; Fungi; Glomeromycota; Glomeromycetes; Glomerales; Glomeraceae.
AGCAGCCGCGGUAAUUCCAGCUCCAAUAGCGUAUAUUAAAGUUGCUGCAGUUAAAAAGCUCGUAGUUGAAUUUCGGGAUCAUCAUGUCGGUCGUGCCUCGGUACGUACUGGCAUUGUUGGUUUCUCCCUUCUGAAGAACCAUGAUGUCAUUAAUUUGGUGUCUUGGGGAAUCAGGACUGUUACUUUGAAAAAAUUAGAGUGUUUAAAGCAGGCUCGCGCUUGAAUACAUUAGCAUGGAAUAAUGAAAUAGGACGUUUGAUUCUAUUUUGUUGGUUUCUAGGAUCGACGUAAUGAUUAAUAGGGAUAGUUGGGGGCAUUAGUAUUCAAUUGUCAGAGGUGAAAUUCUUGGAUUUAUUGAAGACUAACUACUGCGAAAGCAUUUGCCAAGGAUGUUUCAUUAAUCAAGAACGAAAGUUAGGGAUCGAAGACGAUCAGAUACCGUCGUAGUACUUAACCAUAAACUAUGCCGACUAGGGAUCGGAUGA